This 513-nucleotide ribosomal RNA is filed under the name uncultured bacterium. RNAcentral's name for it is "partial 16S ribosomal RNA". It matches the Rfam family "Bacterial small subunit ribosomal RNA", at positions 28 to 523 of the family's 1533-position model. The record is from RNAcentral.
GACGGACGCUGGCGGCAUGCCUAAUACAUGCAAGUCGAGCGAACAGAUGAAGUGCUUGCACUUCUGACGUUAGCGGCGAACGGGUGAGUAACACGUAAGGAAUCUACCUAUAAGCGGGGGAUAACAUUCGGAAACGGGUGCUAAUACCGCAUAAUAUCUUCUUCCGCAUGGAAGAAGAUUGAAAGACGGCUCUGCUGUCACUUAUAGAUGACCUUGCGGUGCAUUAGUUAGUUGGUGGGGUAACGGCCUACCAAGACGAUGAUGCAUAGCCGACCUGAGAGGGUGAUCGGCCACAUUGGGACUGAGACACGGCCCAAACUCCUACGGGAGGCAGCAGUAGGGAAGCUUCCGCAAUGGGCGAAAGCCUGACGGAGCAAUGCCGCGUGAGUGAAGAAGGCCUUCGGGUCGUAAAACUCUGUUAUAAGAGAAGAACAAAUUGUAGAGUAACUGCUACAGUCUUGACGGUAUCUUAUCAGAAAGCCACGGCUAACUACGUGCCAGCCGCCGCAGUAA